CCUUUUACCUGGCAGGAGAGAUGCCAUGUUCAAAAGAGUGGAUUUUUUGGGGCAAGGAUAAUCAUUGGAUAACCAUUGUACUCCAGAUGUGCUGACCUCUGGGAUUUCCCCAAAUGUGGAAAACUCAACUGCAUAAUUUGUGGUAGUAAGACACUGCAGGCAUUUGGCCUUC
This is a small nuclear RNA of Peromyscus maniculatus bairdii (prairie deer mouse), 172 nucleotides long. Its record names the gene U1. It matches the Rfam family "U1 spliceosomal RNA". From Rfam's summary of the family: U1 is a small nuclear RNA (snRNA) component of the spliceosome (involved in pre-mRNA splicing). Its 5' end forms complementary base pairs with the 5' splice junction, thus defining the 5' donor site of an intron. Lineage: Eukaryota; Metazoa; Chordata; Mammalia; Rodentia; Cricetidae. The record is from Ensembl.